GUUGUUUCGGUCCUCCAACCCCUGUGACAUACCUAUAACGUUGCCUCGGCGGACCCCCGCUUCCCCGUAAAACGGGACGGCCCGCCAGAGGACCCAACAAACCCUGUUAUUCUUAGUAUCUUCUGAGUAAAAACACAAUCAAUUAAAACUUUCAACAACGGAUCUCUUGGUUCUGGCAUCGAUGAAGAACGCAGCGAAAUGCGAUAAGUAAUGUGAAUUGCAGAAUUCAGUGAAUCAUCGAAUCUUUGAACGCACAUUGCGCCCGCCAGUACUCUGGCGGGCAUGCCUGUUCGAGCGUCAUUACAUCCCUCAAGCCCCAGCGGCUUGGUGUUGGGCAUCGGCCGUCCUCAGCGGCGGCCGUGCCCCAAAUACAGUGGCGGUCUCGCCCCCGGCUCCUCUGCGUAGUAGUAACAUCUCGCACUGGGACGGAGCGUAGGCCACGCCGUAAAACAACCCAAUUUCUGAAUGUUGACCUCGGAUCAGGUAGGAAUACCCGCUGAACUUAAGCAUAUCAAUAAGCGGAGGAA
RNAcentral lists this ribosomal RNA (527 nucleotides) under Fusarium penzigii. RNAcentral describes it as "eukaryotic LSU rRNA". The stretch from base 147 to 300 matches the Rfam family "5.8S ribosomal RNA". Lineage: Eukaryota; Fungi; Ascomycota; Sordariomycetes; Hypocreales; Nectriaceae. The record is from RNAcentral.